ACGCUCGACACCUAUGGGAGGCAGCAGUUGGGAAUAUUGGACAAUGGAGGAAACUCUGAUCCAGUGACGCCGCGUGAAGGAAGAAGGUCUUCGGAUUGUAAACUUAUUUUGUCAGGGAAGAAAAAAUGACUGUACCUGAAGAAAAAGCACCGGCUAACUACGUGCUAGCAGCCGCGGUAAUCUGAGCGGGCUGGCAAGGC
This 200-nucleotide ribosomal RNA is filed under the name uncultured bacterium. RNAcentral describes it as "partial 16S ribosomal RNA". It matches the Rfam family "Bacterial small subunit ribosomal RNA", at positions 328 to 539 of the family's 1533-position model. The record is from RNAcentral.